AAGCCACUUACUUGAUGUCUAGCU
RNAcentral lists this small RNA (24 nucleotides) under Arabidopsis thaliana (thale cress). Lineage: Eukaryota; Viridiplantae; Streptophyta; Magnoliopsida; Brassicales; Brassicaceae. The record is from RNAcentral.